GACGAACGCUGGCGGCGUGCCUAAUACAUGCAAGUCGAACGCUUCUUUCCUCCCGAGUGCUUGCACUCAAUUGGAAAGAGGAGUUGCGGACGGGUGAGUAACACGUGGGUAACCUACCCAUCAGAGGGGGAUAACACUUGGAAACAGGUGCUAAUACCGCAUAACAGUUUAUGCCGCAUGGCAUAAGAGUGAAAGGCGCUUUCGGGUGUCGCUGAUGGAUGGACCCGCGGUGCAUUAGCUAGUUGGUGAGGUAACGGCUCACCAAGGCCACGAUGCAUAGCCGACCUGAGAGGGUGAUCGGCCACACUGGGACUGAGACACGGCCCAGACUCCUACGGGAGGCAGCAGUAGGGAAUCUUCGGCAAUGGACGAAAGUCUGACCGAGCAACGCCGCGUGAGUGAAGAAGGUUUUCGGAUCGUAAAACUCUGUUGUUAGGGAAGAACAAGGACGUUAGUAACUGAACGUCCCCUGACGGUAUCUAACCAGAAAGCCACGGCUAACUACGUG
RNAcentral lists this ribosomal RNA (508 nucleotides) under uncultured bacterium. Its description in RNAcentral is "partial 16S ribosomal RNA". It matches the Rfam family "Bacterial small subunit ribosomal RNA", at positions 28 to 507 of the family's 1533-position model. The record is from RNAcentral.